CUGUAAGACUGGGAUAACUCCGGGAAACCGGGGCUAAUACCGGAUGCUUGUCUGAACCGCAUGGUUCAGACAUAAAAGGUGGCUUCGGCUACCACUUACAGAUGGACCCGCGGCGCAUUAGCUAGUUGGUGAGGUAACGGCUCACCAAGGCGACGAUGCGUAGCCGACCUGAGAGGGUGAUCGGCCACACUGGGACUGAGACACGGCCCAGACUCCUACGGGAGGCAGCAGUAGGGAAUCUUCCGCAAUGGACGAAAGUCUGACGGAGCAACGCCGCGUGAGUGAUGAAGGUUUUCGGAUCGUAAAGCUCUGUUGUUAGGGAAGAACAAGUGCCGUUCAAAUAGGGCGGCACCUUGACGGUACCUAACCAGAAAGCCACGGCUAACUACGUGCCAGCAGCCGCGGUAAUACGUAGGUGGCAAGCGUUGUCCGGAAUUAUUGGGCGUAAAGGGCUCGCAGGCGGUUUCUUAAGUCUGAUGUGAAAGCCCCCGGCUCAACCGGGGAGGGUCAUUGGAAACUGGGGAACUUGAGUGCAGAAGAGGAGAGUGGAAUUCCACGUGUAGCGGUGAAAUGCGUAGAGAUGUGGAGGAACACCAGUGGCGAAGGCGACUCUCUGGUCUGUAACUGACGCUGAGGAGCGAAAGCGUGAGGAGCGAACAGGAUUAGAUACCCUGGUAG
This 678-nucleotide ribosomal RNA is filed under the name Bacillus amyloliquefaciens. Its description in RNAcentral is "bacterial SSU rRNA". It matches the Rfam family "Bacterial small subunit ribosomal RNA", at positions 130 to 793 of the family's 1533-position model. Lineage: Bacteria; Bacillati; Bacillota; Bacilli; Caryophanales; Bacillaceae. The record is from RNAcentral.